CGAUGGUAGUGUGGGGUCUCCCCAUGUGAGAGUAGGACACUGCCAGGC
RNAcentral lists this ribosomal RNA (48 nucleotides) under Yokenella regensburgei. The record is from RNAcentral. Lineage: Bacteria; Pseudomonadati; Pseudomonadota; Gammaproteobacteria; Enterobacterales; Enterobacteriaceae.